Molecule: ribosomal RNA, 468 nt
Filed under: uncultured bacterium
Lineage: Bacteria
Description: partial 16S ribosomal RNA
Rfam family: Bacterial small subunit ribosomal RNA
Source: RNAcentral
GACGAACGCUGGCGGCGUGCUUAACACAUGCAAGUCGAACGGAAAGGCCCUGCUUUUGUUGGGUGCUCGAGUGGCGAACGGGUGAGUAACACGUGAGUAACCUGCCCUUGACUUUGGGAUAACUUCAGGAAACUGGGGCUAAUACCGGAUAUGAUCUCCUGCUGCAUGGUGGGGGUUGGAAAGUUUCGGCGGUUGGGGAUGGACUCGCGGCUUAUCAGCUUGUUGGUGGGGUAGUGGCUUACCAAGGCUUUGACGGGUAGCCGGCCUGAGAGGGUUACCGGCCACAUUGGGACUAAGGUACGGCCCAGACUCCUACGGGAGGCAGCAGGGGGGAAUAUUGCACAAUGGGCGGAAGCCUGAUGCAGCAACGCCGCGUGCGGGAUGACGGCCUUCGGGUUGUAAACCGCUUUCGCCGUUGACGAAGCGUGAGUGACGGUAAUGGGUAAAGAAGCACCGGCUAACUACGUG